RNAcentral lists this long non-coding RNA (225 nucleotides) under Elaeis guineensis (African oil palm). RNAcentral's name for it is "long non-coding RNA (EGUI_LNC008655)". The record is from RNAcentral. Lineage: Eukaryota; Viridiplantae; Streptophyta; Magnoliopsida; Arecales; Arecaceae.
GAAGGAGGCUCGAUCGUUCAGAAGCCAAAAUAGCUUAUCUUUGAAGGGAUCCUCAAGCUUGAUCUGAUCAGGACGAGGCUCGUCACCAAUUUGGUGGUGAUUGCACCAUCGCAAUGUGGAGGCCACCUAUGUCAGGUUCCAAAAUAGCAACGGACUCUGAGGCUGUGGUUAGACAUUCACAUGAAUCUUUCAAGAAAGGCUUUCAGUGUUGUCAUCGCAUCGUCC